GGCGGGGGGGGGGGUGUCCCUAAGCCUGGAUUGCAAGAGGGCUCAGGCCAGGCUGAGGGACCCCACUGGUGCAUU
RNAcentral lists this microRNA precursor (75 nucleotides) under Myotis lucifugus (little brown bat). RNAcentral describes it as "mir-9193 microRNA precursor family". It matches the Rfam family "mir-9193 microRNA precursor family". The record is from Rfam by way of RNAcentral. Lineage: Eukaryota; Metazoa; Chordata; Mammalia; Chiroptera; Vespertilionidae.